Non-coding RNA from Pangasius djambal, 72 nucleotides. The record is from the annotation of a GenBank genome assembly. Lineage: Eukaryota; Metazoa; Chordata; Actinopteri; Siluriformes; Pangasiidae.
GCAGUGGUAGCUCAGUGGUUAAGCUGUUGGACUAUUGCUCAGAAGGUCAUGAGUUCAAACCUUACCACUACU